This is a long non-coding RNA of Micropterus dolomieu (smallmouth bass), 792 nucleotides long. RefSeq lists it as uncharacterized. The transcript has 3 exons. The record is from RefSeq and is a predicted model, not a curated record. Lineage: Eukaryota; Metazoa; Chordata; Actinopteri; Centrarchiformes; Centrarchidae.
GAAACCACUGAGUGAAACUUCUGCACAUCAAGCCGUGGCUCCACACACAGAGGAUGCAGAGUGUGAGGAGAAAGAAAUGCACUGACGUCACAUGUCCUCAGGGCAGCGAGGGUGGAGUGAGGUGGGACGGUUUGCACCAGUUAGUGACUCAGGCUUUCAUCUGUCUCCUCCCCUUCCCGGAGACACACUGUGUCCCCCAUUAACCAACGGGUGACUCCAGCCUCCGCCAUUCAGUGAAUGACCACACAGGUACACAGGUGUAUCUUCCGUUUAGAAUAAGGUUUGAUCCCAGAGCCGAGUCAUGCAUACCUGCUCUCCUCCAUCACCUCCAUCCAGUGCAUGCAGGUGACAGCGUUCUGCAUUGGAAACACGUGAAGGAUCUCUGCUUUCUCAACACCACACAGGACCACCUGCUUGGUGUCUCUGAGGUUGAAGGCCAAUACUGGAGAUUAAAGACAGAAUAACAGCUUCAUGUUCCCAUCAACAUGCAGACGACUAACAACAGAAAGAUGUACACAUGUCAUUCCUUACUUUUGCCAUCUGGUCGCCAGGCAAGUGCAGUGAUCUCCUUCCCAGUAUACUCACUAGGUGGUAAGCUCCAAACACGCUGGAAACUAGCCAAGCGAUGCAGCAGCAACUACGGACAACAUGAACCAUAAAAUUACAAAACCAUGAAAGAUAGCAAGACAUUUUUCUGGAUUUAACAAAAAAGGUUUUUAAGCCUACCUCUCCACUUGUGUUGGCCAGAGCAAUAAGAUCCCUUUUGGGAGACCAUGCCAUACACAGUACAGG